This 574-nucleotide long non-coding RNA is filed under the name Vombatus ursinus (common wombat). RNAcentral's name for it is "lncRNA (ENSVURG00010004163.1)". Lineage: Eukaryota; Metazoa; Chordata; Mammalia; Diprotodontia; Vombatidae. The record is from RNAcentral.
CGGGAUUUCCCCAGGGGAGUUUUUCCCACAUACACACACUCCCUUGUUCUCUACCCUCUGGGGACUUUCAGAGGCUGGCCUGGAUCGGGUGGUGUCCACCUCUGGGUCAGUGUCUGACAGCCCCACCUCUCUUUCUCUCCCCUGUGGUAACCCUGAUUGGGCCCUGCCUCUCUAGGAGCUGUGUGCAAAUUCUGCCUUCCCCGGGAGUCUGAGCUGUACCAGAAAGAGGUGAGGGGGUGGGAGGGACCACCAAGCAGGGACAGGGCAGGGACCGGCCCCCCAGGCCUUCGUGGGCCAAACGGCUGCCUUCUGUCCUCAGGUGGCGCACCUGGGCGCCCUUGAGGAGCGGUUCUCCCGCCUCUGGACGCAAUGCCAGCGCUGCCAGGGCAGUCUGCAUGAGGACGUGCUCUGUACCAGCCGAGAUUGUCCCAUCUUCUACAUGCGGAAGAAGGUACAGAAGGAUCUGGACGACCAGGAGCAGCUCCUGGCUCGAUUCGGGCCCCCGGGCCCGGCCACCUGGUGACAGAGGACGCGGCUGUGGACGUUGGCAUCAAUAAAGCUGUGGGGCUUUGGG